AUACGUAGGUGGCAAGCGUUGUCCGGAAUUAUUGGGCGUAAAGCGCGCGCAGGUGGUUCCUUAAGUCUGAUGUGAAAGCCCCCGGCUCAACCGGGGAGGGUCAUUGGAAACUGGGGAACUUGAGUGCAGAAGAGGAUAGUGGAAUUCCAAGUGUAGCGGUGAAAUGCGUAGAGAUUUGGAGGAACACCAGUGGCGAAGGCGACUGUCUGGUCUGUAACUGACACUGAGGCGCGAAAGCGUGGGGAGCAAACAGGAUUAGAUACCCUGGUAGUCCACGCCGUAAACGAUGAGUGCUAAGUGUUGGGGGGUUUCCGCCCCUCAGUGUUGCAGCUAACGCAUUAAGCACUCCGCCUGGGGAGUACGGUCGCAAGACUGAAACUCAAAUGAAUUGACGGGG
RNAcentral lists this ribosomal RNA (397 nucleotides) under uncultured bacterium. RNAcentral describes it as "partial 16S ribosomal RNA". It matches the Rfam family "Bacterial small subunit ribosomal RNA", at positions 523 to 918 of the family's 1533-position model. The record is from RNAcentral.